AAGAAAUCACUUGAAAUCAAACGAUUCUAGUAGAGAAUCUCAAGGCUAUUGCAAAACACUCAAGAAACAAACUCAAGUCAUCUUAGAUCUUUACAGAUCUAGGAGAUUUAGAAAUGAAAUUAACGUAUCGAAAAGAACCAUACAGAGAUGAAGAAACCUAUUUAGAAACUCACAGAACAUGGCUAAUAAAGAAUGAUUUCACUCGAAAUCACACUAAAAUGGCCAAGAACAUGCGAGAGAUGAUCCUAGAUGCAAGUCGCCAUGGCCCUGGUCCCUUGAGGGCCUUAAAGAUGGCAAGAAUGACAUGGGAGAAGCCAUUGGAGGCCCGAGAGAUGAUGAAAGGUCACCAGAGAUGGCUAUAGAUUGGGGGUGGGUUGAGGCAGCAUUUGGAGAUUAGGGUUUAAGUUGAGAGUGUUUUGAGAGCAGAGAGGAUUUUAGGGCAGCGGGGUGG
RNAcentral lists this long non-coding RNA (451 nucleotides) under Nicotiana benthamiana. RNAcentral describes it as "long non-coding RNA (NBEN_LNC030715)". Lineage: Eukaryota; Viridiplantae; Streptophyta; Magnoliopsida; Solanales; Solanaceae. The record is from RNAcentral.